RNAcentral lists this ribosomal RNA (315 nucleotides) under uncultured eukaryote. RNAcentral's name for it is "partial 18S ribosomal RNA". It matches the Rfam family "Eukaryotic small subunit ribosomal RNA", at positions 1470 to 1796 of the family's 1831-position model. The record is from RNAcentral.
CCCUUAGAUGUUCUGGGCUGCACGCGCGCUACACUGACGCACGCAACAGGUGCCUGCUCCGAGAGGACUGGGUAAUCAUUUGAGUGUGCGUCGUGAUGGGGAUAGAAUAUUGUAAUUAUUACUCUUCAACGAGGAAUUCCUAGUAAGCGCCAGUCAGCAGCUUGCGCUGAUUACGUCCCUGCCCUUUGUACACACCGCCCGUCGCUCCUACCGAUGGGUGAUCCGGUGAAUGAUUCGGACUUCAGCGGCUCCCCUGGGGUGCGCCGGAGAGAGUUUUGUGAACCUUAUCACUUGGAGGAAGGAGAAGUCGUAACA